CAGCCGCCGCGGUAAUACGAAGGGUGCAAGCGUUAAUCGGAAUUACUGGGCGUAAAGCGUGCGUAGGCGGUGAGUUAAGUCUGCUGUGAAAUCCCCGGGCUCAACCUGGGAAUGGCAGUGGAUACUGGCUCGCUAGAGUGUGUCAGAGGAUGGUGGAAUUCCCGGUGUAGCGGUGAAAUGUGUAGAGAUCGGGAGGAACAUCAGUGGCGAAGGCGGCCAUCUGGGACAACACUGACGCUGAGGCACGAAAGCGUGGGGAGCAAACAGGAUUAGAUACCCGCGUAGUCCCUGUCUCUUACAC
Molecule: ribosomal RNA, 301 nt
Filed under: uncultured bacterium
Lineage: Bacteria
Description: partial 16S ribosomal RNA
Rfam family: Bacterial small subunit ribosomal RNA
Source: RNAcentral